UCGUGAGGUUAGUGCAAUGGCAUAAGCCCGCUUGACUGCGAGAAUGACAAUUCGAGCAGGUGCGAAAGCAGGUCAUAGUGAUCCGGUGGUUCUGAAUGGAAGGGCCAUCGCUCAACGGAUAAAAGGUACUCCGGGGAUAACAGGCUGAUACCGCCCAAGAGUUCAUAUCGACGGCGGUGUUUGGCACCUCGAUGUCGGCUCAUCACAUCCUGGGGCUGAAGUCGGUCCCAAGGGUAUGGCUGUUCGCCAUUUAAAGUGGUACGCGAGCUGGGUUUAGAACGUCGUGAGACAGUUCGGUCCCUAUCUGCCGUGGGCGUUGGAAGAUUGAAGGGGGCUGCUCCUAGUACGAGAGGACCGGAGUGGACGAACCUCUGGUGUUCGGGUUGUGUCGCCAGACGCAUUGCCCGGUAGCUAAGUUCGGAAUCGAUAACCGCUGAAAGCAUCUAAGCGGGAAGCGAGCCCUGAGAUGAGUCUUCCCUGAUACUUUAAGUAUCCUAAAGGGUUGUCGGAGACUACGACGUUGAUAGGUCAGGUGUGUAAGUGCUGUGAGGCAUUGAGCUAACUGAUACUAAUUGCCCGUGAGGCUUAACCAUACAACACCCAAGGGGUUU
RNAcentral lists this ribosomal RNA (611 nucleotides) under Vibrio parahaemolyticus. RNAcentral describes it as "partial 23S ribosomal RNA". It matches the Rfam family "Bacterial large subunit ribosomal RNA", at positions 2338 to 2925 of the family's 2925-position model. The record is from RNAcentral. Lineage: Bacteria; Pseudomonadati; Pseudomonadota; Gammaproteobacteria; Vibrionales; Vibrionaceae.